This 154-nucleotide ribosomal RNA is filed under the name Cupriavidus sp. UME77. Its description in RNAcentral is "partial 23S ribosomal RNA". The stretch from base 1 to 138 matches the Rfam family "Bacterial large subunit ribosomal RNA", at positions 2793 to 2925 of the family's 2925-position model. The record is from RNAcentral. Lineage: Bacteria; Pseudomonadati; Pseudomonadota; Betaproteobacteria; Burkholderiales; Burkholderiaceae.
CUCGCCUGAAGAUGAGGAUUCCCUGGAGCCUUGAGCUCCUUGAAGGGUCGUUCGAGACCAGGACGUUGAUAGGCUGGGUGUGGAAGCGCAGUAAUGCGUUAAGCUAACCAGUACUAAUUGCCCGUAAGGCUUGAUCCUAUAACCAGUGUGUUUC